GACGAACGCUGGCGGCGUGCUUAACACAUGCAAGUCGAACGGUGAAAGCGGAGCUUGCUCCGCUGGAUCAGUGGCGAACGGGUGAGUAACACGUGGGCAACCUGCCCCUCACUUCGGGAUAACUCCGGGAAACCGGGGCUAAUACCGGAUAUGACCUCCUUGGGCAUCCUUGGAGGUGGAAAGUUUUUCGGUGGGGGAUGGGCCAGCGGCCUAUCAGCUUGGUGGUGAGGUGGUGGCUCACCAAGGCGACGACGGGUAGCCGGCCUGAGAGGGCGCCGGGCCACGCUGGGACUGAGACACGGCCCAGACUCCUACGGGAGGCAGCAGGGGGGAAUAUUGCGCAGUGGGCGAAAGCCUGACGCAGCAACGCCGCGUGUGGGAUGACGGCCUUCGGGUUGUAAACCGCUUUCAGCAGGGAAGAAGCCGCAAGGUGACGGUACCUGCAGAAGAAGCACCGGCUAACUACGUGCCAGCCGCCGCCGUAA
This 485-nucleotide ribosomal RNA is filed under the name uncultured bacterium. RNAcentral describes it as "partial 16S ribosomal RNA". It matches the Rfam family "Bacterial small subunit ribosomal RNA", at positions 28 to 523 of the family's 1533-position model. The record is from RNAcentral.